This 481-nucleotide ribosomal RNA is filed under the name Actinomyces oris. RNAcentral describes it as "bacterial SSU rRNA". It matches the Rfam family "Bacterial small subunit ribosomal RNA", at positions 404 to 876 of the family's 1533-position model. The record is from RNAcentral. Lineage: Bacteria; Bacillati; Actinomycetota; Actinomycetes; Actinomycetales; Actinomycetaceae.
AGGGAUGGAGGCCUUCGGGUUGUAAACCUCUUUCGCCAGUGAAGCAGGCCUGUCCCUUUUGUGGGUGGGUUGACGGUAGCUGGAUAAGAAGCGCCGGCUAACUACGUGCCAGCAGCCGCGGUAAUACGUAGGGCGCGAGCGUUGUCCGGAAUUAUUGGGCGUAAAGAGCUCGUAGGCGGCUGGUCGCGUCUGUCGUGAAAUCCUCUGGCUUAACUGGGGGCUUGCGGUGGGUACGGGCCGGCUUGAGUGCGGUAGGGGAGACUGGAACUCCUGGUGUAGCGGUGGAAUGCGCAGAUAUCAGGAAGAACACCGGUGGCGAAGGCGGGUCUCUGGGCCGUUACUGACGCUGAGGAGCGAAAGCGUGGGGAGCGAACAGGAUUAGAUACCCUGGUAGUCCACGCCGUAAACGUUGGGCACUAGGUGUGGGGGGCCUUUUCCGGGUCUUCCGCGCCGUAGCUAACGCAUUAAGUGCCCCGCCUGG